UACGUAGGGUGCGAGCGUUAAUCGGAAUUACUGGGCGUAAAGCGUGCGCAGGCGGCGCUGUAAGACAGAUGUGAAAUCCCCGGGCUUAACCUGGGAACUGCAUUUGUGACUGCAGUGCUAGAGUGUGUCAGAGGGGGGUGGAAUUCCACGUGUAGCAGUGAAAUGCGUAGAGAUGUGGAGGAACACCGAUGGCGAAGGCAGCCCCCUGGGAUAACACUGACGCUCAGGCACGAAAGCGUGGGGAGCAAACAGG
This 253-nucleotide ribosomal RNA is filed under the name uncultured bacterium. Its description in RNAcentral is "partial 16S ribosomal RNA". It matches the Rfam family "Bacterial small subunit ribosomal RNA", at positions 524 to 776 of the family's 1533-position model. The record is from RNAcentral.